CCUGCCCAGUGACAUUGUUCAACGGCCGCGGUAUCCUAACCGUGCGAAGGUAGCGUAAUCACUUGUUCUUUAAAUGAGGACUAGUAUGAAUGGCACCACGAGGGUUAUACUGUCUCCUUUCUCUAAUCAGUGAAACUAAUCCCCCCGUGAAGAAGCGAGGAUAAAUUUAUAAGACGAGAAGACCCUAUGGAGCUUUAAACUAAAUAACAAUUGCUACUUUAUAAUACCUAUUUUCAGAAAAUUUAACUCUUAUACUAGCAUUAUGAUUAUUAGUUUUAGGUUGGGGUGACCGCGGAGUAAAAAACAACCUCCACACUGAAAGGACUAACUUCCUAAACUUAGAGCUACAUCUCCAAGUAUCAAAAAAUUGACACUAAUUGACCCAAUUUAUUGAUCAACGAACCAAGUUACCCUAGGGAUAACAGCGCAAUCUACUUCAAGAGCCCCUAUCGACAAGUAGGUUUACGACCUCGAUGUUGGAUCAGGGUAUCCCAG
RNAcentral lists this ribosomal RNA (495 nucleotides) under Melanophryniscus stelzneri. RNAcentral's name for it is "partial 16S ribosomal RNA". It matches the Rfam family "Bacterial large subunit ribosomal RNA", at positions 1858 to 2550 of the family's 2925-position model. The record is from RNAcentral. Lineage: Eukaryota; Metazoa; Chordata; Amphibia; Anura; Bufonidae.